RNAcentral lists this ribosomal RNA (468 nucleotides) under uncultured bacterium. RNAcentral describes it as "partial 16S ribosomal RNA". It matches the Rfam family "Bacterial small subunit ribosomal RNA", at positions 28 to 507 of the family's 1533-position model. The record is from RNAcentral.
GACGAACGCUGGCGACGUGCUUAACACAUGCAAGUCGAACGGUGAUGCUCCAGCUUGCUGGAGUGGAUCAGUGGCGAACGGGUGAGUAACACGUGAGCAACCUGCCCCAGACUCUGGAAUAAGCGCUGGAAACGGCGUCUAAUACUGGAUACGAAACUGGCCCGCAUGGGCAUGGUUUGGAAAGUUUUUCGGUUUGGGAUGGGCUCGCGGCCUAUCAGCUUGUUGGUGAGGUAAUGGCUCACCAAGGCGACGACGGGUAGCCGGCCUGAGAGGGCGACCGGCCACACUGGGACUGAGACACGGCCCAGACUCCUACGGGAGGCAGCAGUGGGGAAUAUUGCACAAUGGGCGAAAGCCUGAUGCAGCGACGCCGCGUGAGGGAUGACGGCCUUCGGGUUGUAAACCUCUUUCAGCAGGGAAGAAGCGAAAGUGACGGUACCUGCAGAAGAAGCACCGGCUAACUACGUG